Molecule: ribosomal RNA, 434 nt
Filed under: uncultured bacterium
Lineage: Bacteria
Description: partial 16S ribosomal RNA
Rfam family: Bacterial small subunit ribosomal RNA
Source: RNAcentral
AGCGAACGCUGGCGGCAGGCCUAACACAUGCAAGUCGAACGAACCUUUCGGGGUUAGUGGCGGACGGGUGAGUAACACGUGGGAACGUGCCUUUAGGUUCGGAAUAACUCAGGGAAACUUGUGCUAAUACCGAAUGUGCCCUUCGGGGGAAAGAUUUAUCGCCUUUAGAGCGGCCCGCGUCUGAUUAGCUAGUUGGUUGGGGUAAUGGCUCACCAAGGCGACGAUCAGUAGCUGGUCUGAGAGGAUGAUCAGCCACAUUGGGACUGAGACACGGCCCAAACUCCUACGGGAGGCAGCAGUGGGGAAUCUUGCGCAAUGGGCGAAAGCCUGACGCAGCCAUGCCGCGUGAAUGAUGAAGGUCUUAGGAUUGUAAAAUUCUUUCACCGGGGACGAUAAUGACGGUACCCGGAGAAGAAGCCCCGGCUAACUUCGUG